RNAcentral lists this Y RNA (102 nucleotides) under Microcebus murinus (gray mouse lemur). RNAcentral's name for it is "Y RNA (ENSMICG00000043250.1)". It matches the Rfam family "Y RNA". From Rfam's summary of the family: Y RNAs are components of the Ro ribonucleoprotein particle (Ro RNP), in association with Ro60 and La proteins. The Y RNAs and Ro60 and La proteins are well conserved, but the function of the Ro RNP is not known. In humans the RNA component can be one of four small RNAs -- hY1, hY3, hY4 and hY5. The record is from Rfam by way of RNAcentral. Lineage: Eukaryota; Metazoa; Chordata; Mammalia; Primates; Cheirogaleidae.
AGUUGGUCCGAGUGCAGUGGAGUUUACAGCUAAUUGAUCACAACCAGUUACAGAUUCCUUUGUUCCUUCUCCACUCCCCCUGCUCCACUUGACCAGCCUUAA